This 81-nucleotide small RNA is filed under the name Salmonella enterica. RNAcentral describes it as "partial RtT sRNA". It matches the Rfam family "RtT RNA", at positions 47 to 130 of the family's 130-position model. Rfam says of the family: This family represents a bacterial cis-regulatory element known as RtT RNA. The exact function of RtT is unknown although it is thought that it may be involved in changing the cellular response in relation to amino acid starvation. Lineage: Bacteria; Pseudomonadati; Pseudomonadota; Gammaproteobacteria; Enterobacterales; Enterobacteriaceae. The record is from RNAcentral.
CUCGAGCGGAAGCGAGAGAACGUUGCCAACGGCAACGGCCCGAAGGGCGCGACGCGCCGAGUCAUCCUUCCCCCACCACAA